Molecule: long non-coding RNA, 1649 nt
Filed under: Fragaria vesca (wild strawberry)
Lineage: Eukaryota; Viridiplantae; Streptophyta; Magnoliopsida; Rosales; Rosaceae
Description: long non-coding RNA (FVES_LNC002960)
Source: RNAcentral
CGGCUGAUUCAAUCUCAAGAACCAUUUUGAUUUUCAGAAAGUCUACUUUUUUGUGAUUUAGCUUAUCUUAAUGGUAGACAUUUCUAAUGAAAAUAGUAGAUGAGUCUUAUGUUAAAUGUAGACUUUGCAACUUUUACCUUCGGUUGAUUCAAUCUCAAGCACAAUUUUGAUUUCCAGAAAGUCUACUUUUUUGUGAUUUAGCUCAUCUAAAUGGUAGACAUUUAUAAUGAAAAUAAUAUAUGUGUCUUAUGUUAAAUGUGUCUUAUGACUUGCAAUAUUUUCUGUAAUAUUUUUCAUGACAGGAGUAGCUGUUUCUUAUGAUAGUUGUAGACAGUCUCAAGAAUCAUUUUGAUUUCCACAAAGUCUACUUUUGUGUGAUUUAGCUCAUCUGAAUGGUAGAUAUUUGGGAAAAUGCUCAUUUAGUACUAAUUUAAACCUCACAUUUCCCAUUCCAAUGAUAAUCUUUUUCACUAGCCAAUUUUAAUAUAAGGUAACAUUUUUUAUGCCCAAAUAUAUAAAUCUUUACUAAAGUCUUAACAAACCAUAUUAUUUUAAGACUAUUUUGCCCUCACCCCUUAAACAUGCAUAGAGAGAUAAAAUGGAAAAGAGAAUACUUAGCCGGAAUCUUACCGAACUCCGGUCACCGGCCGCUAGAUCCCGGUCACCGGUAACUCGGUUACUGACCCCCAAUAACUCAAAUUUUCUCUAAUCGUCGGAUUCCGGUCACCGGUAACUCGGUUACUGACCCCCAAUAAUCAGUUACUGACCCCCAAUAACUCAAAUUUUCUCUAAUCGUCGGAUUCCGGUCACCGGUAACUCGGUUAUUGACCCCUAAUAACUUGGUUACUGACCCCCAAUAACCAGAAACUGACCCCCAAUAAUCAGUUACUAACCCCCAAUAACCAGUUAUUGACCCCCAAUAAUCAGUUACUGACCCCCAAUAACUAGGUUACUGACCCUCAAUAAUCAGUUACUGACCCCCAAUAAUUAACAUAUUUCAGCUUAACGUAAUAGAAAAGAAGAUUUAUCAGAAAAUAAUCAAAUUACUAACCCUGAAAAUGCAACAUACCAUACUUAACUUCAAAAGACACCACAACAAUGCAACCUAGCUAUUCUCUUCAACCCCUAACCUCGGUCAAGAGCUGAGACUGAUUCCAGACGUUGGUGGAACCUUCUGCCAGAACUCAAGAACUGCAUAGCUACGAUCCUCAAUUUCCACACCAAAACCGCAUCUCACUUCCUGAUGUUGGACUACGUCGUCUUCCAGCCCAACGCUCUCUCGCUAGAUCCGGCCACCAAUCUCCAAUCCCUCUUCACGCGCCUGGCUCGCCGAUUUGGAUCUAGAAACUACCUACAACGUCGUUCACCGCAGCCUAUGUAGUGGAGUGAUCUGUGAAGUGAUGUAGCCGGUUCAGAAUCCGGUGAGAUAUUGGUGAUCGAAAUGACGUCGUUGCAGAGGUCGCCGUCUUCGCUUCCGGUCUUUCUUUGCAGGAGAUCGGCGCUAGAGGGAAGGAUCUAAAUCGGUGAUCUACAUGAAUGGGUGAGAGAGAGACGAAUUUCUCUGACUUUGUCCUCCGUAUCGCUUUUGUAAACUCCAAACCCAAGUCCGAGUCCAAUUCCGAGCCGGAGUCCAAGAUCGCCGGUGCUCA